RNAcentral lists this long non-coding RNA (1413 nucleotides) under Numida meleagris (helmeted guineafowl). RNAcentral describes it as "lncRNA (ENSNMEG00000020712.1)". The record is from RNAcentral. Lineage: Eukaryota; Metazoa; Chordata; Aves; Galliformes; Numididae.
CUGAAUAAAUGUGUUUUUUUUUCUCAGGAGAUUUAAAGACCCUUAUGAAGAGAUUAAUACAAAUUUCAGUUAAGUUUGCAGCAAUGGAAAACAAAAUUGUAAAUUCUGCAUGUGACAGUUUUGCACAAGUGGUGUCACGGAUGCUCUUCUGCCAUAUCAGUUCAAGUGCGCUCAUAGUUUCUGUGAAGAGUUGUACUCCAAACUCCAUUUCUUUUCUUUCAAGGAAUAUUUAUGAUAUUGCUUCAGAAUGUCUUAAUGUUGAAUCUCUUCAAGUGAGAGAAGGUAUGGAACAUGGUGCACAGAGACCCAAGCAAAAACCCCAUUGUCUGACCCUACAGCAAUUCCAGAGGAAUCUCUGCAGUUCUGCAAAUUCCAAACUUUUAUUAAAAUUCUCACUAGCUACAAGAUGCUAAAGAUGGAGAAUUCGGGGAUUCCAUUUAAAUGAAUUAAUAGGAUUACUGUAAACUUUUGUUAAAGAUUUUGAUCUGUUUCCAGCUGAGCUGUCUUUGGCUUGGAGGUCUGGUUGUCUUGCUGACUGGGUCAUAUGUAUUUUUUCCCUUUGUCCUGACAAUCUGUCAGUUUUGUGUUGAUAUCCCUGUUUGGUCUCUUUCUGAUUUCUGUUUUUUAGAAUAUGUUCAGUUUCUCUUGCUCACUGUUCUAUCUCACUUUAAACCAACCAGUGUGUUUCUUUUACUGCAAGGCAUAACAAAUCAGUAUUGUAGGAUAUAUGCAGCAGUAUUUUUUCUGUAUCUUACUCAGCUGGGUUAUGCUAAUAAUAACGUUUAGUACUUCUGUACAGCUUGAAAUCACUGCACAGGGAGUUAAGUGGAGAAAGAAUUAUCAUUUGUCUUUUAAGUAGAGCGAGAGCUGAAGCAACUCACUCAAGCUCUAUAGUGUGUUGGGAUAAAAGUAUGUUGAAGAUCUGCAUAUUAUUUUUUUCUGAGAAAUGUGCUUAUGUCUUCCAAGACAUAACAUAUUCAAGCUAAUAUAUUAAGGUAGACUUGGUAAAGGUAUUUGUCCUGAAGGUAACAGUGUCACUUUACCUGAGCAUCAAUCAAAAUCAAAUGUCUCUUCUCUUAAAAUCUGUGAGCACUCAAUGCUUCAAAAAGAUACUAAACAAACCAGAAAGAUCCACUGUGAUGUGAAGCAAAGUCACGUGGUUUUAACACUGAUUGUAUGAUCAGUAAUUUGCAUAUAUUAUCAUUUAAUUCUAUUUUCUUAUUUUGUUAUAUGGAAGAAUUUUCACAGCCAGUACUACAAAACUUGAAAUCAAACAACAAAGUAUGCUUUAGAAAAAUAUUUCAAUCUAGGGUGUUGUUGAAAGGAGUCACAAAAUGGAAGGAAGGAUGUAGGAUGAGUUCUAAAAUAACAUCUUACUCUGAGUCUGUUUUCUGUGACUGCUACUUCAGGGUU